Molecule: ribosomal RNA, 460 nt
Filed under: uncultured bacterium
Lineage: Bacteria
Description: partial 16S ribosomal RNA
Rfam family: Bacterial small subunit ribosomal RNA
Source: RNAcentral
CCUACGGGCAGCAGCAGUGAGGAAUAUUGGUCAAUGGACGAGAGUCUGAACCAGCCAAGUAGCGUGAAGGAUGACUGCCCUAUGGGUUGUAAACUGCUUUUAUAUGGGAAUAAAAUGUCUCACGUGUGGGGUUUUGUAUGUACCAUAUGAAUAAGGAUCGGCUAAUUCCGUGCCAGCAGCCGCGGUAAUACGGAGGAUCCGAGCGUUAUCCGGAUUUAUUGGGUUUAAAGGGAGCGUAGGUGGAUUGUUAAGUCAGUUGUGAAAGUUUGCGGCUCAACCGUAACAUUGCAGUUGAAACUGGCAGUCUUGAGUACAGUAGAGGUGGGCGGAAUUCGUUGUGUAGCGGUGAAAUGCUUAGAUAUGACGAAGAACUCCGAUUGCGAAGGCAGCUCACUGGACUGGAACUGACACUGAGGCUCGAAAGUGCGGGUAUCAAACAGGAUUAGAUACCCCAGUAGUC